This 971-nucleotide ribosomal RNA is filed under the name Lucilia cuprina (Australian sheep blowfly). RNAcentral's name for it is "eukaryotic LSU rRNA". It matches the Rfam family "Eukaryotic large subunit ribosomal RNA", at positions 104 to 901 of the family's 3401-position model. The record is from RNAcentral. Lineage: Eukaryota; Metazoa; Arthropoda; Insecta; Diptera; Calliphoridae.
UAGUUCAGCACUAAGUCACUUUGUCUUUAUGGCAAACUGUGAGAUGCAGUGUAUGGAAUGUCAAAUUUCUAGUAUGAGAAAUUAACGAUUUAAGUCCUUCUUAAAUGAGGCCAUUUACCCAAAGAGGGUGCCAGGCCCGUAUAACGUUAAUGAUUACUAGAUGGCAUUUCCAAAGAGUCGUGUUGCUUGAUAGUGCAGCACUAAGUGGGUGGUAAACUCCAUCUAAAACUAAAUAUAACCAUGAGACCGAUAGUAAACAAGUACCGUGAGGGAAAGUUGAAAAGAACUCUGAAUAGAGAGUUAAAUAGUACGUGAAACUGCUUAGAGGUUAAGCCCGAUGAACCUGAAUAUCCAUUAUGGAAAAUUCAUCAUUAUGAUUUUAAUAUUUGUAAUAUUAUAAUAAUGGUGUGCAUUUUUUCUAUAAAGGACAUUGUAAUCUAUUAACUUUAAUAUAUUUAUCAUAAGAUCAUUAGAUUAUGUUUAUUCAAAUUAUUUUGCUUGCAAUUUAAUAUCGAAUAAAUUCUUUUGAUUUGAUAAAGUGUUGAUAGAUUUAUUAUAUACAGUGCUUAAAUAUUUAUAUUUUAUAAUAUCAUAUUAAUCAAUGAUUUUUAUGUUCAUUAUAUGCACUUGUAUGAUUAACAAUGCGAAAGAUUCAGGAUACCUUCGGGACCCGUCUUGAAACACGGACCAAGGAGUCUAACAUAUUUGCAAGUUAUUGGGAAUAAAAACCUAAUAGCGAAAUUAACAUAACUUUAAUGGGAUUAGUUUUUAGCCUAUUUAUAGUCUAUUAAUUCAAUCCCGGGGCGUUCUAUACAGUUAUGUAUAAUAAUAUUUAUAUUAUUUAUACCUCUAACUAGAGCGUACCUUGAGCAUAUAUGCUGUGACCCGAAAGAUGGUGAACUAUACUUGAUCAGGUUGGAGUCAGGGGAAACCCUGAUGGAAGACCGAAACAGUUCUGACGUGCAAAUCGA